Molecule: ribosomal RNA, 756 nt
Filed under: uncultured bacterium
Lineage: Bacteria
Description: bacterial SSU rRNA
Rfam family: Bacterial small subunit ribosomal RNA
Source: RNAcentral
AGAGUUUGAUCCUGGCUCAGAAUCAACGCUGGCGGCGUGCCUAACACAUGCAAGUCGCACGAGAAAGGGUAGCAAUACCUGAGUACAGUGGCGCACGGGUGAGUAACACGUGAAUUAUCUACCUCCGAGUGGGGAAUAACCUAGAGAAAUCUGGGCUAAUACCGCAUAACACUUACGAGUCAAAGCAGCAAUGCGCUUGGAGAGGAGUUCGCGGCCGAUUAGUUAGUUGGCGGGGUAAUGGCCCACCAAGACGAUGAUCGGUAUCCGGCCUGAGAGGGCGCACGGACACACUGGAACUGAAACACGGUCCAGACUCCUACGGGAGGCAGCAGUGGGGAAUUUUGCGCAAUGGGGGAAACCCUGACGCAGCAACGCCGCGUGGAGGAUGAAAUCCCUUGGGAUGUAAACUCCUUUCGAUCGGGACGAUUAUGACGGUACCGGAAGAAGAAGCCCCGGCUAACUUCGUGCCAGCAGCCGCGGUAAUACGAGGGGGGCAAGCGUUGUUCGGAAUUAUUGGGCGUAAAGGGCGCGUAGGCGGUUUGACAAGUCUGAUGUGAAAUCUCUGGGCUCAACCCAGAGUCUGCAUUAGAAACUGUCGGGCUUGAGUAUGGGAGAGGUGAGUGGAAUUUCCGGUGUAGCGGUGAAAUGCGUAGAUAUCGGAAGGAACACCUGUGGCGAAAGCGGCUCACUGGACCAUAACUGACGCUGAGGCGCGAAAGCUAGGGGAGCAAACAGGAUUAGAUACCCUAGUAGUCC